Molecule: ribosomal RNA, 301 nt
Filed under: uncultured bacterium
Lineage: Bacteria
Description: partial 16S ribosomal RNA
Rfam family: Bacterial small subunit ribosomal RNA
Source: RNAcentral
CAGUCGCCACGGUAAUACGUAGGUCCCGAGCGUUGUCCGGAUUUAUUGGGCGUAAAGCGAGCGCAGGCGGUUAGAUAAGUCUGAAGUUAAAGGCUGUGGCUUAACCAUAGUACGCUUUGGAAACUGUUUAAUUUGAGUGCAAGAGGGGAGAGUGGAAUUCCAUGUGUAGCGGUGAAAUGCGUAGAUAUAUGGAGGAACACCGGUGGCGAAAGCGGCUCUCUGGCUUGUAACUGACGCUGAGGCUCGAAAGCGUGGGGAGCAAACAGGAUUAGAUACCCCUGUAGUCCCUGUCUCUUAUAAC